Xyrichtys novacula (pearly razorfish) is the source of this 73-nucleotide non-coding RNA. Lineage: Eukaryota; Metazoa; Chordata; Actinopteri; Labriformes; Labridae. The record is from the annotation of a GenBank genome assembly.
AGCAAUUUAGGUUAACAUUACAGACCGCGAGCCUUCAAAGCCCGAAGAGGGGGUGGGAGCCCCACAUUUGCUG